This 253-nucleotide ribosomal RNA is filed under the name uncultured bacterium. RNAcentral describes it as "partial 16S ribosomal RNA". It matches the Rfam family "Bacterial small subunit ribosomal RNA", at positions 524 to 776 of the family's 1533-position model. The record is from RNAcentral.
UACGUAGGGGGCGAGCGUUGUCCGGAAUCAUUGGGCGUAAAGCGCGUGUAGGCGGCUCGGUAAGUCUGCUGUGAAAGUCCAGGGCUCAACCCUGGGAUGCCGGUGGAUACUGUCGAGCUCGAGUCCGGAAGAGGCGAGUGGAAUUCCUGGUGUAGCGGUGAAAUGCGCAGAUAUCAGGAAGAACACCCGUGGCGAAGGCGGCUCUCUGGGACGGUACUGACGCUGAGACGCGAAAGCGUGGGGAGCGAACAGG